This 468-nucleotide ribosomal RNA is filed under the name uncultured bacterium. RNAcentral describes it as "partial 16S ribosomal RNA". It matches the Rfam family "Bacterial small subunit ribosomal RNA", at positions 28 to 507 of the family's 1533-position model. The record is from RNAcentral.
GACGAACGCUGGCGGCGUGCUUAACACAUGCAAGUCGAACGGAAAGGCCCUGCUUUCGUGGGGUGCUCGAGUGGCGAACGGGUGAGUAACACGUGAGUAACCUGCCCUUGACUUUGGGAUAACUUCAGGAAACUGGGGCUAAUACCGGAUAGGAGCUCCUGCUCCAUGGUGGGGGUUGGAAAGUUUCGGCGGUUGGGGAUGGAUUCGCGGCUUAUCAGCUUGUUGGUGGGGUAGUGGCUUACCAAGGCUUUGACGGGUAGCCGGCCUGUGAGGGUGACCGGCCACAUUGGGACUGAGAUACGGCCCAGACUCCUACGGGAGGCAGCAGUGGGGAAUAUUGCACAAUGGGCGGAAGCCUGAUGCAGCAACGCCGCGUGCGGGAUGACGGCCUUCGGGUUGUAAACCGCUUUCGCCUGUGACGAAGCGUGAGUGACGGUAAUGGGUAAAGAAGCACCGGCUAACUACGUG